RNAcentral lists this long non-coding RNA (1189 nucleotides) under Pogona vitticeps (central bearded dragon). Its description in RNAcentral is "lncRNA (ENSPVIG00000002697.1)". Lineage: Eukaryota; Metazoa; Chordata; Lepidosauria; Squamata; Agamidae. The record is from RNAcentral.
UUGGAUUGGAAUUCCCAGGCAGGGAACUCCAGUUGAAAAAAAAAAAUCCAGGCUUUGACAUUAACCCGGUUUACAACAGAGUAGCUAUAAAUAACACAACCCUUUCGGUUUCUCCCAGAGUACCAGGAAACCAACGAUUUUAUUCUGAUUUUACGAAGGCAUGCACCAGGAUCUGGCCCUGUGUGUUUUUCAGCAUGAUCAACCCUACCAUUCAGCUGCACAGCAGAAAGAUGGGUUGUUUGGACACCUUGAGCUGCGUGGAGGACCGGGUUUAUCAAGUAGGUACAGGGUACGUGGGGUGGGGCAGUAGGGCUGGCCCCACGGCCUUCUGCAAUUUGAGUCAAGGGGAGAGGACACCCCUUUCCACACAGAGAAGCUGGUCAGAGUGUCUGUUCAAUCCAGUUUUGGUUAUGGGUGACGAAACAGGGCUCUUGGUGCAUUUGAGAGCUUUUGUGGGCCAGGAAAACGUGUGGGGCACCCAGAACCCUAUGGUUUAACAGGCAGCGUAUUCAAGGCUACAGGGCAAAUGCGCAGGGGAUGUGCUGAAACCAUGGCCACUCUCUAACAUUUAUCUGUAAUGUGUAGCAAAACAAACAGCUGGGCGAAUCACUCUGCCUCUUGGUAGGACCGGCCCCAGGUAUGAUGGGUGUGGAAUCGCAACGGAGAGCAACAGAAACUUACGAUGAUUUAUGAAAUACUUUUAAUGCUGUGCUAUGCUUUUUAGCAAAUUGUGCUUAUGUAUUGACAGAGUAGGCUGCGUUCUUGGUUUGCUUUAAGUGUAUUUGGGAUUGCCUUUUUUCAGUCUCUGUUUUUCAUUUGGGCAGUACGGUAAACAUACAAGGUCUGGCUGUAGGUUUUAUAAGAGGACUGCUUUUCUCCAGUGUUUGAAAGGUACUAACAAAUGCUACUUAUUUUGUUAAACCCAGCAUUCCAACUCUGUUCCUCCCUAUACGUUGCACAACCUGCUGUAACUUCUGACUGGUUUACGCAAGGUCUGCUGACUGUCACAUUCAUUUCCUUCUUUAUAUAUUUAUUUUACCCCACGUUUCUCCUACGAUGGACCCAAAACGGCUUAACAUGGUUGAAACGGCAACAUUUAAAAGCUAAAAACAGCAAAUACAUCAAUAUUUAAAAAGAAUUAAACAUGAGCCACAUUUUGAAAAGGUAAAUAAAAUCAGCACUAAAAACA